AUGAGCAUGACGCCCACGACCCGGCCGUCGCUGACCUUGCGGUCGGUGAGGACCUUCAGUCCAGUCUGAAGGCCGGCACUGAUGUUUGUGCCGCCGCGGGCGAUAAGGCCGUUGACGAUCUUCUGCAAAUCCCGCUGGGAGUCCCGGGUGAUCUGCCGCAGUGGGCACAGCCUAGUGGCAUCAUUGGAGAAGGUGACGAUGGAGAGGCGGUCGAUGGGGCAAAGCUUCCUAACGACAAACUGCAUGGCGACUUUCAUCUCGUCGAUUUUCUCACCCGACAUGCUGCCACUCACGUCUAGUACGACCACUAGGUCCAGGCCCGGCCGGUCAACGCUGGAGUCACCGCCGGUGAGCUCCAGCAUCACCUUCUGGUUGUUCUCCUUGAGAGGCGCCUCUUUACUGUUCUUUAUCACCAGCUGCACUGUAAUAUUAAGACUAUUGUGCAAUGUUAGCUUUACUUUUUUCUUUUCCUUUUUUCUUUUGCAUUUGAUUGGAUUUAAUUCACUUGUUAAAUGUUGA
RNAcentral lists this ribosomal RNA (519 nucleotides) under Triticum aestivum (bread wheat). RNAcentral's name for it is "partial small subunit ribosomal RNA". The record is from RNAcentral. Lineage: Eukaryota; Viridiplantae; Streptophyta; Magnoliopsida; Poales; Poaceae.